This 16-nucleotide transfer RNA is filed under the name Tringa melanoleuca. RNAcentral describes it as "partial tRNA-Ile". Lineage: Eukaryota; Metazoa; Chordata; Aves; Charadriiformes; Scolopacidae. The record is from RNAcentral.
AAAUGUGCCUGAACGU